This 757-nucleotide ribosomal RNA is filed under the name Acinetobacter baumannii. RNAcentral describes it as "bacterial SSU rRNA". It matches the Rfam family "Bacterial small subunit ribosomal RNA", at positions 1 to 750 of the family's 1533-position model. The record is from RNAcentral. Lineage: Bacteria; Pseudomonadati; Pseudomonadota; Gammaproteobacteria; Moraxellales; Moraxellaceae.
UUUAACUGAAGAGUUUGAUCAUGGCUCAGAUUGAACGCUGGCGGCAGGCUUAACACAUGCAAGUCGAGCGGGGGAAGGUAGCUUGCUACUGGACCUAGCGGCGGACGGGUGAGUAAUGCUUAGGAAUCUGCCUAUUAGUGGGGGACAACAUCUCGAAAGGGAUGCUAAUACCGCAUACGUCCUACGGGAGAAAGCAGGGGAUCUUCGGACCUUGCGCUAAUAGAUGAGCCUAAGUCGGAUUAGCUAGUUGGUGGGGUAAAGGCCUACCAAGGCGACGAUCUGUAGCGGGUCUGAGAGGAUGAUCCGCCACACUGGGACUGAGACACGGCCCAGACUCCUACGGGAGGCAGCAGUGGGGAAUAUUGGACAAUGGGGGGAACCCUGAUCCAGCCAUGCCGCGUGUGUGAAGAAGGCCUUAUGGUUGUAAAGCACUUUAAGCGAGGAGGAGGCUACUUUAGUUAAUACCUAGAGAUAGUGGACGUUACUCGCAGAAUAAGCACCGGCUAACUCUGUGCCAGCAGCCGCGGUAAUACAGAGGGUGCGAGCGUUAAUCGGAUUUACUGGGCGUAAAGCGUGCGUAGGCGGCUUAUUAAGUCGGAUGUGAAAUCCCCGAGCUUAACUUGGGAAUUGCAUUCGAUACUGGUGAGCUAGAGUAUGGGAGAGGAUGGUAGAAUUCCAGGUGUAGCGGUGAAAUGCGUAGAGAUCUGGAGGAAUACCGAUGGCGAAGGCAGCCAUCUGGCCUAAUACUGACGCUGAG